CGUACCACAACGACAUACUGAAUAUUCUGUUAUGUGUCUGAAUUUCUUGAAUGUUUUUUUUUUGUGUGUUAAAUCCUAAAACAUGAAGUGGCAUUGUUGUCAGUUACUAUGGCUAUGGUCUGCGUGCAGCGUGGAUAAUACCUCUUUCCCUUUGCUGUGGAUCAUGGUGUAGCUGAGUUAAUUUUAUUUAUUUAUUUUUUUUUUGGAUUAACCUUCUCAAAACACCCUUUUGUUGAAUUUACAUGAUUGUUGUCGCCUUUGCACUUAUUUCUGUUUUAUACUGUUUUAUUUUUGGAUCCCAAUGCGGCCCAAAUCCAUCCCCAUUAUCUAUGUAUUUUUGUUUUUCCUUGGUUUUUGAAUUGUAUUUUAUUUUGGUGGAGAAGCUUUUAUUUUCUUGUUUCCUGUCUCCGUGUCACAUCCUGUGUGUUCCCGCUGCCCUCCUCAGUUCGCGCCAAGCUGCGCUGGGGAGAGGUGUGAGUGGGAAAGCCAGAGCCAGGAGCUGCUGCUGAACAUGUUUUUUGUUUUAAACAGGAAUAAAUCAUUGCAAAUCCUG
Poecilia latipinna (sailfin molly) is the source of this 553-nucleotide long non-coding RNA. RefSeq lists it as uncharacterized. NCBI's taxonomy places the organism in Eukaryota, Metazoa, Chordata, Actinopteri, Cyprinodontiformes, Poeciliidae. The transcript is spliced from 2 exons. The record is from RefSeq and is a predicted model, not a curated record.